Eriocheir sinensis (Chinese mitten crab) is the source of this 478-nucleotide long non-coding RNA. RefSeq lists it as uncharacterized. The transcript has 3 exons. Lineage: Eukaryota; Metazoa; Arthropoda; Malacostraca; Decapoda; Varunidae. The record is from RefSeq and is a predicted model, not a curated record.
CGUCACCACGUGUUGACCACUGACGCCUGCUGGUGGCCACGAGGGGCGGGUGGGUGUCGGCGAUGUGGUUUUUAUUUUCAGUUUCGCAUAAAAAAGAAAGAAAAGCAAGCCGUAUAUUAUAGUCUCGUGUGCGGUGAACCUUGUAUUAAAUAUGUUGUGCUCAUAUGUGUAAAGGAAACUACCCUGGAAUGAACUAAAAGUGAGUGUUUUCUCUGGCGAUGCAUGAUUCGAGGUGGCCGAAAGCUAUCGUGGAGGAGGAAUUUCACACCAACAGCAAGAGACAGGAGAACAAGAGAGGAGAGAUGGUGUGCUCCCUGGCAGCACGGCCUGCAUGGGAACGCCGCCCCCCUCACCACCUGCUCAAGGACAAGUAACGUUUAAAGGACUGCUGAUUAGACUAACGAAGAAAAGCAAGAGACUGGGUUCGCCACCUGAUCUAGCUGCUGCUGAUGACGAUAGUACACAUGUCUGCACAAGG